RNAcentral lists this long non-coding RNA (1687 nucleotides) under Ricinus communis (castor bean). RNAcentral describes it as "long non-coding RNA (RCOM_LNC002227)". Lineage: Eukaryota; Viridiplantae; Streptophyta; Magnoliopsida; Malpighiales; Euphorbiaceae. The record is from RNAcentral.
UAGUUAGAAGAGACGAUGCAUACAUUUUAUUGAUGCAUGAACAGAAGAAAGAAAAGUUUGAUUUGUGAACCUUUCAUCCACAAAAUUCAACACAGAUACAAGUGGAAACAGAGAAGGGAAAAAGUCACUUUCAUUUUCGCAGUUCAGAACUUCAACACAGAUGUUCCCAAUUCACUCAAUUAUUUUCAACACAGAUUUACUUUAUGUUGCUCACUUCCUCUGCUUCUUUUUUUUUUUUUUUUUGGGUUCAAUUGUAUUUUCUAUGAACUCCUCCUCUUCAACAACAAUAUGCUGGCAUGAUCAGAAUUUUGCUUGCUCCAAUUCCAAAGCUCAUUUUCCAUUUCAAAAUUCGAACCUUCAUUCUCAACUCCCAAAACAGAAUCAUGGAAAGACGGGACAAUUUGUUGCUCCUGGAAUGGGGUCACUUGUUAUGUUGAAACAGAUGAUAUAAUUUGUCUCUCCCUCUCUGAUAGCUUGCAGUAUGGCACCAUCCAUUCUAAUAACAGUCUUUUCUUCCUUGGUCAUCUGCAAAAGCUUUGUCCUCUCUCGCAAUUAUUUCAGCAACUCGCAGAUUCUACCUCAAUUUGGCCAAUUCUUUGCUUUGACACACCUUAAUCUAUAUAGUUUAGAUUUCGUUGGCCAAAUCCCACCAGAAAUCUCUCAUCUAUCCAAUUUAAUUUCAGUUGAUCUCUCUUGGAUUGAUUUGUUACCUCAAUCUGAUACAAGAGACAAUGAAGGAGGAUGCAUGAUUCUCAAUUAGAAGCAGCAGAUUCAAUUUGAGGCUUUCUGUGUGAUGUGCAGGAUGACAGAUACAAAUUUCCUCAUCAACACUGCUAAUUAACUACUAACGCUAUCUCUGUUUUUUUUUUUCUUUUCCAAGAAAAAGCAAAAAGUUACGGAAUUGGCUUUUUUACUUUAGUUUGUUUAUAGAUCUUUCCAAGAAACCAAGUGAAAUUAAGUUGGAUAGAUGAGAGAUUUCUGGUGGGAUUUGACCAGAAAAAUCUGAAUCAUACAGAAUAAGGGUGUCAAAGCAAAGAACUCGCAAAAUUGAGGUAGAAUUUGUGAGUUGUUGAAAAAAUUGCACGAGAGGUGAAGCUUUUAAAGAUGAGCAAGGAAGAGAAGACUGUGAGUAGAAUACAGCAAGCUAUCAGAGAGAUUAAGGCCAAUUAUAUUACCUGUCAAAAAUGACCCAAUCCCAGGAGCAACAAUUUGUCCCCUCUCUCAGAGUUGGGGAAGCUAAAGCACAGGAUUAGAGAGACAGGAAAAGCAAUGAUAAUGAGGAUAUGAUGGAGCACUCUUUUAUAGUGCCAAGAGGGAGCAGUUGGGUAGAUGAGUUGAAAUAUUUAUGACCAAAGAAGAGUGUAAUUAGAAUGGAUGGUGCCAUUUUGCUUAUUUGGAGGCUCUUUCAUUGAAUUGGAGCAAAGCAGUGAGGACCAAUUUCAUACACAGAAAGUGAGCAACACAAAGUAAACCCCACCAUUUUCAAUUUACAAGAUGUCUAAUUUCUAAUUCGAUAAAUCAAGGUGACAUUUUUCCUUUUUUCCUUUCCACUUGUAUAAUCGUAGACUUAAAACAUGCAUCUAAGACAUGUCAAAAAAGAAAAAGAAAGAGAAAGAAAAUGGAAAAAGAAAACAAGCUUAGCUAACAACAUUUUCUGUUUUUGAAACCCAUAUUAAUCUAAAAGGAC